GUGGGGAAUUUUGGACAAUGGGCGCAAGCCUGAUCCAGCAAUGCCGCGUGCAGGAAGAAGGCCUUCGGGUUGUAAACUGCUUUUGUCAGGGAAGAAAUCUUCUGGGCUAAUACCCCGGGAGGAUGACGGUACCUGAAGAAUAAGCACCGGCUAACUACGUGCCAGCAGCCGCGGUAAUACGUAGGGUGCGAGCGUUAAUCGGAAUUACUGGGCGUAAAGCGUGCGCAGGCGGUUUUGUAAGAUAGAUGUGAAAUCCCCGGGCUCAACCUGGGAACGGCAGUGGUGACUGCAAGGCUGGAGUGCGUCAGAGGGGGAUGGAAUUCCGCGUGUAGCAGUGAAAUGCGUAGAUAUGCGGAGGAACACCGAUGGCGAAGGCAAUCCCCUGGGCCUGCACUGACGCUCAUGCACGAAAGCGUGGGGAGCAAACAGGAUUAGAUACCCCAGUAGUCC
This 450-nucleotide ribosomal RNA is filed under the name uncultured bacterium. RNAcentral's name for it is "partial 16S ribosomal RNA". It matches the Rfam family "Bacterial small subunit ribosomal RNA", at positions 354 to 796 of the family's 1533-position model. The record is from RNAcentral.